RNAcentral lists this ribosomal RNA (253 nucleotides) under uncultured bacterium. Its description in RNAcentral is "partial 16S ribosomal RNA". It matches the Rfam family "Bacterial small subunit ribosomal RNA", at positions 524 to 776 of the family's 1533-position model. The record is from RNAcentral.
UACGAGGGGGGCGAGCGUUGUUCGGAAUUAUUGGGCGUAAAGGGUGCGUAGGCGGUUUGGUAAGUCUUAUGUGAAAUCUAUGGGCUCAACUCAUAGACUGCAUGAGAAACUGCCGGGCUUGAGUAUGGGAGAGGUGAGUGGAAUUCCUGGUGUAGCGGUGAAAUGCGUAGAUAUCAAGUGGAACACCAGUGGCGAAGGCGAGUCUCUGGACAUUUCCUGACGCUGAGGCACGAAAGCCAGGGGAGCAAACGGG